Ribosomal RNA from Colobus angolensis palliatus, 125 nucleotides. The record is from Ensembl. Lineage: Eukaryota; Metazoa; Chordata; Mammalia; Primates; Cercopithecidae.
GUCUAUGGUCAUAUCACCCUGAACACACUGGAUCUCAUCUGAUCUUGGAAGUUAAGCAGGGUCAGUCCUGGUUAGUAUGUGGAUGGAAGAAAUUCAAUAUUGUUGCAAGAUUUGAUAAAUAAACC